AUGGACGCGCCGGUGCAUGUUCUCGUGUUCCCGUGGCCGCUGCAGGGCCACAUCAACUGCAUGCUCCAUCUCACAGCCGCCCUCCUCGACGCCGGCUUCCGCGUCACCUUCCUCCACACCGAGCACAACCUCAGCCGCCUUGUCCCAGCGGCGCUGCCGCCGGGCCUCCGCCUGCUGUCCGUUCCCGACGGCCUCCCGGACGACCACCCCCGCUCAGUACGCAGCCUCAAGGAGCUCUCGGAGUCCAUGUUCACGACGGGCAGCGCUGCGUACCGCGCCCUGCUCCUGUCGCUUCGAUCCGAUGCACCGCCGUUGACCUGCGUUCAUGGUUUUCACUUUCAGUGA
RNAcentral lists this ribosomal RNA (345 nucleotides) under Triticum aestivum (bread wheat). RNAcentral describes it as "partial small subunit ribosomal RNA". The record is from RNAcentral. Lineage: Eukaryota; Viridiplantae; Streptophyta; Magnoliopsida; Poales; Poaceae.